GGCAGCGAAGUGGGUGACGUCAAGCUUCCAAGAAAAGCCCUACACCCGUUAAGGCAUGAUGGCCUGUACCCGAAACCGACACAGGUGGGGUGGUAGAGAAUACCGAGGGGCGCGAGGUAACUCUCUCUAAGGAACACGGCAAAUGGCCCCGUAACUUCGGGAGAAGGGGUGCCACCGCAAGGUGGUCGCAGUGAAGAGGCCCAGGCGACUGUUUACCAAAAACACAGGUCUCCGCUAAGUCGCAAGACGAUGUAUGGGGGCUGACGCCUGCCCAGUGCCGGAAGGUUAAGGAAGCUGGUCAGCGCAAGCGAAGCUGGCGACUGAAGCCCCGGUGAACGGCGGCCGUAACUAUAACGGUCCUAAGGUAGCGAAAUUCCUUGUCGGGUAAGUUCCGACCCGCACGAAAGGCGUAACGAUCUGGGCGCUGUCUCGGAGAGAGGCUCGGCGAAAUAGAAUUGUCUGUGAAGAUGCGGACUACGUGCACCCGGACAGAAAGACCCUAUGAAGCUUUACUGUAGCUUGGUAUUGUGCCCGGGCUCUGAAUGCGCAGGAUAGGUGGGAGGCUUUGAUCCAUUGCUUGUGGGUGAUGGUGAGCCAACGGUGAGAUACCACUCUUUCAGAGCUAGGGUUCUAACGGUCACCCGUUAUCCGGGGACCGGACAGUAUCAGGUGGGCAGUUUGACUGGGGCGGUCGCCUCCUAGAAGGUAACGGAGGCGCGCAAAGGUUCCCUCAGGCUGGUUGGAAAUCAGCCGAUGAGUGUAAAGGCAGAAGGGAGCUUGACUGUGAGACCUACAAGUCGAACAGGGACGAAAGUCGGCCUUAGUGAUCCGACGGUUCUGAGUGGAAGGGCCGUCGCUCAACGGAUAAAAGUUACUCUAGGAUAACAGGCUGAUCUCCCCCAAGAGUUCACAUCGACGGGGAGGUUUGGCACCUCGAUGUCGGCUCAUCGCAACCUGGGGCUGAAGUCGGUCCCAAGGGUUGGGCUGUUCGCCCAUUAAAGCGGUACGCGAGCUGGGUUCAGAACGUCGUGAGACAGUUCGGUCCAUAUCCGGUGCAUGCGCAGGAAUAUUGAGAGGAUUUCUUCCUAGUACGAGAGGACCGGGAGGAACGCACCUCUGGUGUACCAGUUAUCGUGCCAACGGUAAACGCUGGGUAGCCAUGUGCGGAGUGGAUAACCGCUGAAAGCAUCUAAGUGGGAAGCCCACCUCAAGAUGAGUAUUCCCAUGGCGUUAGCCAGUAAGGUCACGGGCAGAACACCCGUUGAUAGGCUCUACGUGGAAGCCGGGUAACCGGUGAAGCGGAGGAGUACUAAUAGACCGAGGGCUUGACCAG
This 1333-nucleotide ribosomal RNA is filed under the name metagenome. RNAcentral's name for it is "bacterial LSU rRNA". It matches the Rfam family "Bacterial large subunit ribosomal RNA", at positions 1581 to 2925 of the family's 2925-position model. The record is from RNAcentral.